This 253-nucleotide ribosomal RNA is filed under the name uncultured bacterium. Its description in RNAcentral is "partial 16S ribosomal RNA". It matches the Rfam family "Bacterial small subunit ribosomal RNA", at positions 524 to 776 of the family's 1533-position model. The record is from RNAcentral.
GACAGAGGGUGCAAACGUUGUUCGGAAUUACUGGGCGUAAAGAGCGCGCAGGCGGUCGAUCAAGUCGCGUGUGAAAGCCCCCGGCUCAACUGGGGAGGGUCACGCGAUACUGUUCGACUCGAAGGCAGGAGAGGGAAGUGGAAUUCCCGGUGUAGUGGUGAAAUGCGUAGAUAUCGGGAGGAACACCAGUGGCGAAGGCGACUUCCUGGCCUGUUCUUGACGCUGAGGCGCGAAAGCUAGGGUAGCAAACGGG